Molecule: long non-coding RNA, 1256 nt
Organism: Populus nigra (black poplar)
Lineage: Eukaryota; Viridiplantae; Streptophyta; Magnoliopsida; Malpighiales; Salicaceae
Exons: 2
Source: RefSeq, a predicted model, not a curated record
CAGUGUUAUAAGCCAGCCAUAUGUUACAAGAAGGAUAAUAAAUUGGGGUUAAGUACAUCACUUCAAAAAUAUACUCAUCCUAUGCUGUUCAAUUUUUAUUUUUAUUCCACACCUUUCUUAUUAAUACGUGACAAUCAAACAACCCUUAUAUUAUAAACACGCAAAAUAAAAAUAAAAACAUCUAAAUAUAAAAUUACAAAAAAAAACAUCUGUGGUUUCGUUCGUGCACAGGUUGACUCUGAGAUUCAUCAUCAUCUGCAUGCAGAACUUUUAGUUUCCGCUACUUACUUGGUUUCUGUAUCCAGUGUGACAAUUUGAAUAAAUUGAUGUUCACAUUUGAAUAUUAAGAUUUCUACUCUUGAUACAUAUUGUCUCUGUCCCUGACUUUUGCAACUGUUUUAGGAGAAGAUUCUUCCUUUGGAUAAAGCUUUUUCUUAAAAAAAAAAUUAUGGGGAGAGAGAGUGUUUGCAUUAAAGUUUGUGCUGGGCAUUUGAAGUUGAGAUCACAGUUACUUGUUUGUUCCCUUGAGAUGGAAGAUUUCAGCGCAAACAGCUGCAGUAGCUUGCCUUUCUGCUUGUCUACCGAAUAGUUUUCUAAACUCAUCACCAUAGGCUUCCAUCGAUUUACAUGUUAUUGUGUGAUACAAAGAUCCCCUGAUGUUUGGAGGUUUCAUUUGGGAUGUGUGGUGGAUCAUAAGUGCACAUAGAGUGAGGAGGAGAUGAUUUGUAGGUGAAGUUUUGGGCUGGUGAGCGAAAUUUGGAGCAACUGUGGGAUGGAAAGGAACAAGUCAACAUUGUCUGGUUAAUUUUGUUCUAUUUCAUGGCGCAUCUACGAGUGAUUAGUAGGGGAGGGUUAGUCCAUCCUAAUUCCUUUUUGUUUAUUAAGGGGGGAUGCUGACAGUGCAUUGGACCGGCUCUGGCAGAAGAAGAAACCUGGAGUUCGACAACAGUAGAAUGAGAUGAUCGAUACGCUGGAGGGGGGAGAUUCUGCUGUUUAGAUGUUUGCUAUGCUUUCCUAGUAGUAGUUUUGAACAUCACAACUAGCUCCAAAGUAAGCUCCAAAGUUUCGCGCGUUGUACUUUGGAAAAAAGCUGGAGACCCCAAUGGUUUUGUUUAUGAAUGAUCGACUUCGCAUGUAUGUUACCAUGAUGGUUUAAAAACAAACUCAAGCGGUUUGCAUAUGUGCUUGUUGCUAGUUUGAGGGAUAUAUUUGCAUAAUGAUAUGGAAUCUAUCUGGGUUUGAAGAUUGAUAUGAAA